UGGGGAAUAUUGGACAAUGGGCGAAAGCCUGAUCCAACCAUGCCGCGUGGAUGAUGAAGGCCCUAGGGUUGUAAAGUCCUUUUAACGGGGAAGAUAAUGACGGUACCCGUAGAAUAAGCUCCGGCUAACUUCGUGCCAGCAGCCGCGGUAAUACGAAGGGGGCUAGCGUUGCUCGGAAUUACUGGGCGUAAAGCGCACGUAGGCGGAUUGUUAAGUCGGGGGUGAAAUCCUGGAGCUCAACUCCAGAACUGCCUCCGAAACUGGCGAUCUUGAGUUCGGGAGAGGUGAGUGGAACUGCGAGUGUAGAGGUGAAAUUCGUAGAUAUUCGCAAGAACACCAGUGGCGAAGGCGGCUCACUGGCCCGAUACUGACGCUGAGGUGCGAAAGCGUGGGGAGCAAA
This 400-nucleotide ribosomal RNA is filed under the name uncultured bacterium. RNAcentral describes it as "bacterial SSU rRNA". It matches the Rfam family "Bacterial small subunit ribosomal RNA", at positions 355 to 772 of the family's 1533-position model. The record is from RNAcentral.